Molecule: unclassified non-coding RNA, 495 nt
Filed under: uncultured Glomus
Lineage: Eukaryota; Fungi; Glomeromycota; Glomeromycetes; Glomerales; Glomeraceae
Description: SSU rRNA
Rfam family: Eukaryotic small subunit ribosomal RNA
Source: RNAcentral
AGCAGCCGCGGUAAUUCCAGCUCCAAUAGCGUAUAUUAAAGUUGUUGCAGUUAAAAGCUCGUAGUUGAAUUUCGGGAUCAAUUUAUCGGUCGUGCCAAUGGUAUGAACUGGUACAAUUGGUUUCUCCCUUCUGACGAAGCAUGAUGCCAUUAAUUUGGUGUCGUGGGGAAUCAGGACUGUUACUUUGAAAAAUUAGGGUGUUUAAAGCAAGCAUUAGCUUGAAUACAUUAGCAUGGAAUAAUGAAAUAGGACGUUUGAUCCUAUUUCGUUGGCUUCUAGGAUCGACGUAAUGAUUAAUAGGGAUAGUUGGGGGCAUUAGUAUUCAAUUGUCAGAGGUGAAAUUCUUGGAUUUAUUGAAGACUAACUACUGCGAAAGCAUUUGCCAAGGAUGUUUUCAUUAAUCAAGAACGAAAGUUAGGGGAUCGAAGACGAUCAGAUACCGUCGUAGUCUUAACCAUAAACUAUGCCGACUAGGGAUCGGAUGAUGUUAAUUUU